CCUUCCGUAGGUGAACCUGCGGAAGGAUCAUUACUG
Molecule: ribosomal RNA, 36 nt
Filed under: Candida albicans
Lineage: Eukaryota; Fungi; Ascomycota; Pichiomycetes; Serinales; Debaryomycetaceae
Description: partial 18S ribosomal RNA
Source: RNAcentral